This 7944-nucleotide long non-coding RNA is filed under the name Glycine max (soybean). RNAcentral's name for it is "long non-coding RNA (GMAX_LNC003364)". Lineage: Eukaryota; Viridiplantae; Streptophyta; Magnoliopsida; Fabales; Fabaceae. The record is from RNAcentral.
AUUAAUUAAGGACUCAUGGGAUGAUCAAGUAAAGAUAAGCUUUUUUAUUUUAUUUAUCUUUUUGGUGAUUGGAAAAAAUGGUGAAUUAAGUAUAGAGAAGGUUACUAAUGAAGUCAAUUAUAUUUUUUCCAUUGGUAAAUCUUCCGGUGGGGCCUGUUGGGUAGUCGAUGCCAUAUGGUCUGUAAUUGGAACUUGCAUUUGUUUGAAGGUUGUUGUUAUUUCCAUUGUCAGAUAGAGAGUCCCCAAGGACGAACAUGCAAGGCACUUGCGAUUCUCCAUGGACACAUUGUUGCAUGCAAUUUGUAGCCAAUAGAAAUAGAGAUAGAGCCAACCAUGGCUUAGUCUUAGCUUCCAUCUUGAUCGAUGUAGCUAGGUAGAAAAGCUAAUGAGACAAAAGAGUUUGGGUUACUAUAUAUAUAUGAUCCAGGAAGUAAGGAGUGUGGCAAGUGAAAGAUGAAAGGUACAUGUAUAUAUGGGGUGGGGUGACAAAGUUGUUCAAAAUUUGGAAGAUUAUUAUUAUUAUUAUUAAGUAGUCAGAAUAAAGAAAUAUUGAAGGACAACGAGUUUGGCAUGUUUUUCUUGUUUGUUAACCAAAUUAAGGUGACAUUAGUGCUAAGAUGACGAAUUUGGCAAUUUGUUACUAAUAAAAGCAAAGAAGGUCCAAACUAAUAAAUAUUUCAAUUUAAUUUGCACCGAUGAACACGAAAUCCUUGAUGAACGUGCGACCAUAUAUCCUUGUUUUUGCAUUUUGCUCAACUCCUGUGUUGAAAAGUAAACAUACACCAAGCAGCAGCAGGCAAGCACGUUCAACGGCUUUUUUUUUUAGUUUCAUGAUAUAUCUUGAUUUGAUAUUCAAACUUUGAUUUUAGUUUCUUUAUUUUCCAUUUAGUCAUCUAUAAAAAUUAUGUGAAUUUAAUUCUAUUUUUCACUUUGUGACAGGAAAAAACUGUCACUUGUGAAGUUUAAACAAAAAAGAAGGAUUAUAUUCUAAUAUUAUUAAAAGUUAAAGGAUGCUUGAAAGUAUAAAAAUUAAAACCAAAUUUAAGAAAAAAAAUAAAAAAUUAAAUUAUAUUGAUGUAAUUUUAAUAAUUAUUAUAUUAUUUUUAUAACUUAAUAUAUAAUAUAAUGUAACUAAUUAUUGGAUUAUAUCUAUAUAAUUAUUGUUUAUGUUAAAUUUUAUUAAAAUUAAACAAUAACAAGAUAAUCAAAUAAUUUAUGUUUUAAUAUAUUUAAUAUUAUAUUGAUUUUAAUCUAUUUGAACGGGAUAAAACGCAGAAACUAAAAUCAUAUUUUUCUCUUUUUAAUAUAAAAAGUCUCUUUUAAAAUAAAAUAUGAUAUGUUAAAGAAAAAAAUUCCUUUUGAACUUUAAUUAUUAAAAUUUGAAUUCAAUUUCAUUUAAUUUUGAUUACGCACUUUACUUAACUGUUUAGUAUUUUAGAUUUUUAGUUUCUUAUCUUAAAUUUUAUUUUUAUAUAUUAUUUUAAUUUAUUACUAUGUUUAACUUUAAUGAAUUUUUCAUUGUUUCUUAUCUUUUGUAUUUACAACCUUUUAAUCUUAUUCUUUUAUAUUCUUAUAGUCACAAGUUCUAAUAAAAAUAAUAUUUAUUUAAUUUUUUAUUUAUAUAUUCAUUAACUUAAGUUUUGUUUAUAUGAAUGAUAUAUGAGUUUAAAAACUUGCAAGUUUCAAUAAUGAAAAUAUUUUAAUAUUUACUUUUUUUGUAUAUUUACAUUUGAGUUUUAAUUAUGCUAAACUUAUAUAUUUUGGAUUAUUUUGAACAAGUUUUAACGAUAAAAUUAAAGGGAGAAAUCUAAUUCAAUAUUCUUCGACUGAAAUAAAAAUAAAAUAUUCAUGUUAAAAUUGUUGCAUGCAAUUUGCAGCCAAUAUAUAGAAAUAGAGAUAGAACCAACCAUGGCUUAGUCUUAGCUUCCAUCUCGAUGUAGGUUGGGUUAUUAUGAUCCAGAAAUUACAAGGUUGGGGUGGCAGUGUGUGUCCUAGUUGGAAGAUUUUUUUUCUUACAAUGAAACUAAUGAAGCAGUAACUAACAUUAUUGCAAAGAUGACGAGUUAGGCAAGUUUCGUUACUAAUUAAUAACAACAGAAGGUCUACAAAAGAAGCUCUAAUUAAUAAUUCAGACCGUUGAAUUGGGUAAAUUAAUAUUGAUACGGAUUGUAUUAGCUUAAUGGUUUUAGAUAUAUAUACAGAAUUUUCCGGUCUAUCCAAAACAACUUUUUAAAAAAAAAAAAAAAUCUUUGAAACAUGAUGUAAAAAAAUGAAAAAAAAAACUCAUAUAUAUUGAACUUUGAUUAUAAAACUUCAUAUUUGAUUUCAUUUCAUUUGAUUGCUUCAAUAAUUUUAAUGUUAUCAUUAUGUUUUGGCAACGGUAUUGACUGCAUGCAUGUAUUGUCUUUUUUGGGGGGACUUUAAUUUUUCUGUUAAUUUUAAUCUUUACCUAUGCAUGCUGCUAUGCUCCAUGCAUGUAUCGCUUCUGAUACUCUGUUAGUGUUUUCCAUCCGUUUGUAGUUGGUUCGAAUUAACCCUGAGCUUUGCGGGAUUGGUUUGCAUUGGUUAUAUAUUUGUUAUUUGGUUAUUUUCUCAUGCCUAAAAAGAUCUCGCUUUUUCAGGAAGAAAGCCAGAUAUAGGCACUUGGGUCGCAUUAAUCAAUAUCUUAAUUCCUUAAGAAAUUGGUUAAAAAUCAAAAGAAAAAAUUAUUAAUAAAAAUCAUUAGUGUAUAGAAAAAAUUAUAAACAUAACUUCAUACGUGUUAAUAAAUAUUUUUAUUCUUUUAAUUCCUUAAUUGAUAUCUAAGGACAUUCAUUAACAUUUAUUUAUCUAUUUUUUAUUGGAUGAGGUAAAAAUAAAUAAGAAAAUAAUCCUAAAUGGUCUUCGGCUUCAUUUUGUAUAGGAAAUGAUAUGAUUAGGCAACCCACAUUUAAUUGUCUUGAUGAUUAUGUAAGGCACUAUGCUAGGUGAUUUUUUUAACGCAAUAAUUAUCCAAUAGAAUUAAUUCAAAUAAUAAGAUUCAAUUAUUAAUAGAUUAACUACUUAAAGGAUAUAAAUAAAGAUAAAUAAUAAUAAUAAAACUAAAAUAUUUAAAUAAAAAUUAAUGAAUGAACUCUAAAAAAUGCACUAAAAAUAAAAAUAAAAGCUAUUAUAGCCAAUGAAAAAACUGGUUGAUAUUUUAAUCCUUAAAUUUAAAUUUAAAAUUAAAAAAAUAAAAAUAUAAAGCUUUAGUAAUAAUCACUUUCAUUGAUCAAAAUAAGUAAUAAGCAAUUUUUUUAAAGAAUUAGGACUAGUUUGCUUAAGUUUAUUUUUUAAAACAAGUAUUUUUUAAAUAAAAUAAAAAUUUUAUGAUUUUUUGAUGUGUUUGUCUAAAUUAUUUUUUAACUUAAAAUAAACAUUUUAUAUUUUUUGAAAAUUAAAUUUUAUCUGUUUUUUUAAAAAAAUAUAUUUAUAUAAGAAGCAUUUAUUUUAAAUUUAUUUUUUCAAGUUUAAAAAAAUUUAUCCUCAAUAAUAAUUACUUUGAAUAUACUUCCGAUUUAAUUAUUACGAAAAUCAUAAAAAAUAUUCAUCAUCAUUUUGGAUGAAUUUUCAAUUAGAUUAUCACAAAUGCCUUUUAAAGUUAGGGAAUGGUGGUCAAUAUUCUGGGGAGCUUUCACGUGGAGCAUUUGGUAUCAGAGAAAUGCUGUGAUCUUUGAUGGAAAGAGCCUGGACAAAGGGCAAAUUUUACAGAAAAUAUUAUUCUUGGGUUGGUCGUGGUUAAAAGCAUACCACAAUUUUUCUUUCUAGCAUUGGCAUGCUAACCCUGCUGCGUGUCUGUCUUAAUUGUCUCAGAUCAAAUUACACUACAAACCAUUUUUAUAUUUCUAUAGAAAUUCUAAUAAUAGUUUCUGUUAAUUAACAUAUAAUAUUUUAACCAGAAAACCAUUUAUUAAUAUAUUUGUACAUUUUUUACAAAAAUAUGUUACUAAGUUAUUUGUUUUUUAUAAUAUAUUUUCAGUCAUAAAUUCUUUCUCUCUUAGCUUUUAAGUUUUAUUACUAAUGACAAAUUUGGAAUUAGAAAUUUUUUUAAACUCAAAAGCUUUUCCUCUCCCUUCUUCCUUCACCCUUAAACUCCUAUUUUCCAAUCAUGAAACCAAUCUUAUAUAUUUUCAAAUCAAAAGUUUUGUGAUAUAUAUAUAGCAACGUUGAGGCAUAGAAAGGAAACAAUGAUAAGGUAUCAGGUGAGUGAAGACUAACUUAAUCGGUAAAUUAAAAAUAUUUUAAUAUAUAUUUGAUUAAAAAUAUAUUUUCAAUAUCAUUUAAUAAAUAUUCUCUAAUUAACAGUAUUUGUUAAAUGUCCUAUAUUAGGAAAGUGCAGUGCAGUACUUGCAUAUGAGCAUAUCUUAGGAAAGAAAGAUUUUUUUACAGAAUCUUAGGAAAGAAAGAUGUAAUCUUUUUAAGAGUAUUUUUUAUAGUAUCAAGUUAAAUGAACUAAACUUUAUAUUUUAUAUUUUAAUAUAAGGGGAGAUAAUAUAUAGUUACAUUUCUCAAAGGGCUGGACAAGUGUAAUUUACUUGGAAAUUUAAUAACGUUAUAACUUUGAUAAACAAUAUGUAUCUCCGCACUUAUAUAAAAGAAAUCGAAGACUAUUAUUUACUCCGCACUUAUUUAGGUUGAUAUUAUAUCUUAUAAAAUUUAUUGGAAACUAUAAAAUUAGGUGAGACUCGGUUAAUAAGGAGUGAGACUCACAUAAUUUGAUGAUUUCCAAUAAAUUAACACAGAAACAAUAUGUUCUUAGGAUUUCUUAAUUAUUUAAGGACGUAUUGUAAUUGGACUGAACAAGGCUCUUGAUAUUCCCUGGGUAAGUGAAGGCUGGAUUAGAACCAUUAUAAGCAAGGGUUGCAACGAAUCUGUUGAAAGCUUCUGUGGUACUGAGCCCAUCCCAAAACACGUGUUGAGCCCUAUUCUGGCAUGCUGUUGAAUUCUGAACACACAGCACAUUCAACCCUAUUGGGCAGCAAGAAGCAUUCGUUACAGUGAAACCUGAAACACACAUGGACCAGAUUGUGUUGCGUAAGACAUUCAAAUGCUUUAAUCUAUAGGAUGCAUGGUUUUAAACAACGGUCCACGAGGUUAAGAUAUUUUGACAAUCUAUAAUCGCAUCACAAUGGUAAUUACGAUCACAUUAUCAGUUGUAUUUUUUCAUAAUGUAAAGAUUUUUUCUGACUCACACAAUCCCACGGCAACCACCGCAAUUUAAAAUCAUGAUUGGAUGUGAAAAAAAGUGUAAGAAAAUCGAAAUGCAUACAUACCACCGGUAUUGACGAUGCCAAGGUUUCUGGCUGUGUUGUUUACAAAGAUGAAUUUGGAAUCAGGAGCCCGGUUAUUGUAUUGGUCCACUAGAGAUCUAAGCUUGCCAUUGAAUAUUCCCGCAGCAUUAUUCAUCACUUCAUAGCAAGAUCCAUUUGUUUUAUACGUAGUGAUGGCAUAUGGAGAGCAGCCUAUACGACCCAUCCCUUGUAACACGAAUUUUCUUGCCCCAAGUCGUUGCAGAUGCUGCCCUCCAAAACCAUAUUUUCAUAAUUAUAAAUUGUUUUCAAUAUAGGUGUAAAUCAUACUAGGGUUGUCAAAUGACGGCUAAUAAGUUGGAGCCACAUUCAACAUGCACUGCCAAUAAUAUGUGGAAUCUAUAAUCAAAGUAAACUUUAAGGACACAUGCUUUUAUUGACUCAAGAUUAAUUAGUAUAAAUAAUUUCAGCAUCUAUUUAUAUAUAAUAUAUUCACAUAAAUUUGUGAAAAUUGAAAUACUACGACGAGCCUAUUUUUUUAACUUUCGAGGUCCUAGUGCUAUAUAGGGUUUUUAAUUAACUCCCAAAAAAUGAUUAUUUGACAUGCCUUAAGAAGGAAAGAGAGGAAAUAAAAAAAAUGUGACGAAUGUGUGAUAAAAAAAAUAUUAAACAAUUGUAAAAAUUAGACUGUAAAAAAAAUUAUUUGUUGAAACCCAUACGAUGAUUUUUUCAGUUUAAUUGUAAGUCUUUACUCUUAAAAAUUUUCAGUUGUUUAAUUUAAUUUUUGAAAUAAAUGUUUUAUAAAAAAAAUUGUUAAUAAAAUCCUUUUUUUCAUUUUUCUUGUUUAAUUUUUUAAAAUAUUAUAAGUUUUUUCAUUGCAAUAUUUUGAUGGAUCAGAUAUAAAAAGAGUGAUAUUUAGAAUGAUGAAAGGACUUAUAAUAUUUAAAUAAAUUAAAUGAGAAACAAAGAAUACGAAAAAAUGUUUUAUGCAAAAAUCAAUUUAAAAAAUAUAAUUAAAUAAAAAAUACAAAAUUAUAAAAAUUAAUACUUAAUUAAACCAAUUUUGUGUAAAAUCAUAGGUAUUCUCUUUGGAAGGAAAUCCUUGUCAAGAAUUUGAAUCUUAAUUCAUCAUAUUUAUGAGAAAAACUAACAUCUUCUAUUAGCUAGGCUAAGUCUUUAUUAGUAAAUGUUAUUAGUGGCUUCAUUAGGUAAAUUGUCGCUCUAAGAACAUAAAUUUAAAAACCUGAAAAUUAAAGUUCUUGUCAUGUUAUGUAUUAUAAAAAUAAUUUUUAGACUAGUAAGUAUAUGAAAAAAGACUAAGUGAGGGCAUGACCGUGACAAAACUCAAAAUUUAAAUUAAUGCUUAUUUAAAUUUGAAUUAAGAGGACACAUACUCUCCCAAAGACUUUAUAAAUUGUUAGAGUUUAUUGAAAAUUAUUAACUUUUGGUAAGUUUCGUUUUUUUAUUUAAUAUAAAUCAGUAGAAAAUAAUUAUAUGAGAAAUAAAACUUAUCAAAAACUAUAAUUUCUAAAAAAUUCUAAUCAAUCAUAAACAAACUCUUAGAAAAAGAGUAUGUUAACAUUUUUCUUAAACUAAUAUUUAAUAAAGUCAAGGCCGCUAUUUAAAAUUUAAAUCUGUUUUCAGAUUAAUAUAUUACUUUUUCAAAAUUUUCUAUUUAUAAAAAUUUAAUUAUUGAGAUUCAAAUAAAAAUAAGUCAAAAGUGACUUCAUAUAGGACCCGACGCGAAUCCAAACAAUUCGUAGUAUUGUAAAUUAAUAAUUGAUCCAAUAGUUUGAUUUGAAUUUUAUAAUUACGAGUGCUGCGAAAAGCGCCAAUUUGUGAGGCAAAGUGAAAAGCAAAUAGAAAAUUGUUAAAAUACCUGUAUAUAUCGAGAGUAGCGCCUAAUAAGAUCGUUCGCGUAUCCCUCAAGGUCAUACACUCUGCUUGUUCGGUAAUAUAGCGGAAGGAAGUAAUUAUUUAUGUAAUCACUGUUGCCUAUAUGCACGUAGUACAAGCACUUGUUAAGGUGUUGUCCAGCUUUCUCUAAACUUCCAAGUCUUGGAGCAAUUUGGUAAUAUAUAUUCAUUCUGUGAUUCAUGAUUUGUCUUUCCAAAUUGAUAUUGGCGCCCUGCGUUGUACGUGUAAUUCACUAAUUUAGUGGCAUGCAUGGGUGAGUAUUGAAUUGAAAUACGUGUAAAAUUAUACCAAAUUAAACCAAUUAAAGAUAGAGAUGAACAAAUAAAGAAGGAUAUAUACUAGAUGCGUGCCGGUCUCAGGGCGAAUCCCUGCUGAUCCAGAUGCAUAGUUGGCACCCUUAAGUAUGUCCGAGCCACUAGUGUUUGCAUUGGGUGGGAUGCGUUCCGUAAAUCCCAAAAGCUCAGCUACAAUUAAUAAUGGUUAAACAACGUUAAUUUGUGAUCUAAACAAAUGAAAAAAAGUGUAGGAUAAGAUAAUACAGCAGGGAAAGGACACAUGUCAACUAAGUAUAAUUAAGCUUUAUUUUUAUGGUGAUUGAGAGAGAGAGAGAGAGAAUUAAUGCUACCAUACGUACCAAUUAUGUCAGCUUGCGUUAGUCCAUUGGUAAAUCUACCAGUUGUGCCUGCUGGGAAGUCGAUGCCAUAUGGUCUGUAAUUGGAUUUUGAAUAUGUUCGAAGGUUGUUGUUAUUUCCAUUGUCAG